Molecule: ribosomal RNA, 460 nt
Filed under: uncultured bacterium
Lineage: Bacteria
Description: partial 16S ribosomal RNA
Rfam family: Bacterial small subunit ribosomal RNA
Source: RNAcentral
CCUACGGGUGGCAGCAGUGAGGAAUAUUGGUCAAUGGGCGCAAGCCUGAACCAGCCAAGUAGCGUGAAGGAUGACUGCCCUACGGGUUGUAAACUUCUUUUAUAGAGGAGUAAAGUGAGCCACGUGUGCCUUUUAGGAUGUACUUUAUGAAUAAGGAUCGGCUAACUCCGUACCAGCAUCCGCGGUAAUACGGGGGUUCCGAGCGUUUACCGGAUUUUUUGGGUGUAAAGGGUGCGUAGAUGGGUUGUUAAGUCAGUUGGGAAAGUUUGGGGCUCAACCGUAGAACUGCAGUUGAUACUGGCAGUCUUGAGUACAGGUGAGGUAGGCGGAAUUCGUGGUGUAGCGGUGAAAUGCUUAGAUAUCACGAAGAACUCCGAUUGCGAAGGCAGCUUACUAAACUGCAACUGACAUUGAGGCUCGAAAGUGUGGGUAUCAAACAGGAUUAGAUACCCGUGUAGUC